UGAAUACGAGAUGCUACGGCGUCGAAGCAGUGUAUGUCAGACUUCCAAGAAAAGCUCGCAAUGUCAUAAAUAAAGAAUGCCUGUACCAUAACCGACACAGGUGGGUAGGUAGAGUAUACUAAGGGGCGCGAGAUAACUCUCUCUAAGGAACUCGGCAAAAUAACUCCGUAACUUCGGGAGAAGGAGUGCCUUCUUGAAGAAGGUUGCAAUAACAAGAUCCAAGCAACUGUUUAUCAAAAACACAGGUCUCCGCUAAGUCGAAAGACGAUGUAUGGGGGCUGACGCCUGCCCAGUGCCAGAAGGUUAAAGAAGCUGGUUAGCAAUAGCGAAGCUGGUGACUGAAGCCCUGGUGAACGGCGGCCGUAACAAUAACGGUCCUAAGGUAGCGAAAUUCCUUGUCGGGUAAGUUCCGACCCGCACGAAAGGCGUAAUGAUUUGGAUACUGUCUCGGAGAGGGACUCGGUGAAAUAGACUUGUCUGUGAAGAUGCGGACUACCUGCACCAGGACAGAAAGACCCUAUGAAGCUUUACUGUAACUUGAAAUUGAAAUUGGACUUUAUUUGCGCAGUAUAGGUGGAAGGCGUUGAGAUUACUCUUGCGGGAUUAGUGGAGCCAUCAGUGAGAUACCACUCCUAUAAUGUUAGAUUUCUAACUUUGGAUCAUAAUCUGGUCAAAGAACAGUUUCAGGCGGGCAGUUUGACUGGGGCGGUCGCCUCCCAAAUGGUAACGGAGGCGUACAAAGGUUUCCUCUGAACGGGUAGAAAUCGUAUCUAGAGUGUAAAGGCAUAAGGAAGCUUGACUGUGAGACCUACAAGUCGAGCAGGGACGAAAGUCGGUCUUAGUGAUCUGACGGUGCUGAGUGGAAAGGCCGUCACUCAACGGAUAAAAGUUACUCUAAGGAUAACAGGCUGAUCUCCCCCAAGAGUUCACAUCGACGGGGAGGUUUGGCACCUCGAUGUCGGCUCAUCGCAUCCUGGGGCGGUAGUACGUCCCAAGGGUUGGGCUGUUCGCCCAUGAAAGCGGUACGCGAGCUGGGUUCAGAACGUCGUGAGACAGUUCGGUCCAUAUCCGGUGUAGGCGUUAGAAUAUUGAGAGGAGCCUUCUUUAGUACGAGAGGACCGAGAAGGACAUACCUCUGGUGUACCAGUUAUCGUGCCAACGGUAAACGCUGGGUAGCUAUGUAUGGAGAGGAUAACCGCUGAAAGCAUCUAAGUGGGAAGCCCACCUCAAGAUGAGUGCUCUCACAGGGUUAACCUGGUAAGGUCACGGGAAGACCACCCGUUAAUAGGCACUAGGUGGAAGUCCAGUAAUGGAUGGAGCCAAGGUGUACUAACAGACC
Molecule: ribosomal RNA, 1339 nt
Filed under: metagenome
Description: bacterial LSU rRNA
Rfam family: Bacterial large subunit ribosomal RNA
Source: RNAcentral